Molecule: long non-coding RNA, 500 nt
Organism: Sinocyclocheilus grahami
Lineage: Eukaryota; Metazoa; Chordata; Actinopteri; Cypriniformes; Cyprinidae
Exons: 3
Source: RefSeq, a predicted model, not a curated record
CUCAAAAGUACAUAACUGAUAAAGAGAAUGAAGGGUUUAUUUUAUGAAAUGGGUAAACUUUGGUCCACACUCCAACACUGAAGGUGGCGAUAAUAACGCUGGUGCUACCCACCAUAAAACAGAAGAAGAAGAAUCAAACAUCACUAUUCAAGAAUCAGCUACAGGAAAUAGGAGGACUGGACUGGAAGGACGAAUUUAAUGAAGAUAUAGUAAGUUAAAGUGAGUCAGCAGAUGGCAGUAAUGCAACACUAUGGAUGCCAACUGCCGUAAAACUCCAACGAAGAAGAAGACAAACAUCACUAUUGUGAUGCACAUUUGUGUUAGGGACUGUUGACUGUGGAAUUGUUACACUGGAGAAAUGGAUGUGUCAAGUCUUUCCAAGGGGACAAAGAAAUUGAAGUUAAGAAUCGAAAAGGAGUCAUCAAAACAACACCAGAAGCAGAAUGUAUCUGUUAAAUUGAAAUGUCUGUGAAAUGCCAACACCAAACUGAAAAUAAAUC